UUGAGUGGGGGAUAACGUAGCGAAAGUUGCGCUAAUACCGCAUAUUCUGUGAGCAGGAAAGCAGGGGACCGCAAGGCCUUGCGCUCUUUGAGCGGCCGAUGUCAGAUUAGCUAGUUGGUGAGGUAAAGGCUUACCAAGGCGACGAUCUGUAGCGGGUCUGAGAGGAUGAUCCGCCACACUGGAACUGAGACACGGUCCAGACUCCUACGGGAGGCAGCAGUGGGGAAUUUUGGACAAUGGGGGCAACCCUGAUCCAGCCAUGCCGCGUGAGUGAAGAAGGCCUUCGGGUUGUAAAGCUCUUUCGGCCGGGAAGAAAUCGCAUGGGCCAAUACCCUGUGUGGAUGACGGUACCGGAAUAAGAAGCACCGGCUAACUACGUGCCAGCAGCCGCGGUAAUACGUAGGGUGCGAGCGUUAAUCGGAAUUACUGGGCGUAAAGCGUGCGCAGGCGGUUUUGUAAGACAGGCGUGAAAUCCCCGGGCUUAACCUGGGAACUGCGUUUGUGACUGCAAGGCUAGAGUACGGCAGAGGGGGGUGGAAUUCCACGUGUAGCAGUGAAAUGCGUAGAGAUGUGGAGGAACACCAAUGGCGAAGGCAGCCCCCUGGGUCGAUACUGACGCUCAUGCACGAAAGCGUGGGUAGCAAACAGGAUUAGAUACCCUGGUAGUCCACGCCCUAAACUAUGUCAACUAGGUGUUGGGUGGGUAAAACCAUUUAGUACCGUAGCUAACGCGUGAAGUUGACCGCCUGGGGAGUACGGCCGCAAGGUUAAAACUCAAAGGAAUUGACGGGGACCCGCACAAGCGGUGGAUGAUGUGGAUUAAUUCGAUGCAACGCGAAAAACCUUACCUACCCUUGACAUGCCAGGAACUUGCCAGAGAUGGCUUGGUGCCCGAAAGGGAGCCUGGACACAGGUGCUGCAUGGCUGUCGUCAGCUCGUGUCGUGAGAUGUUGGGUUAAGUCCCGCAACGAGCGCAACCCUUGUCGUUAAUUGCCAUCAUUUAGUUGGGCACUUUAACGAGACUGCCGGUGACAAACCGGAGGAAGGUGGGGAUGACGUCAAGUCCUCAUGGCCCUUAUGGGUAGGGCUUCACACGUCAUACAAUGGUCGGCACAAAGGGUUGCCAAGCCGCGAGGCGGAGCCAAUCCCAGAAAGCCGAUCGUAGUCCGGAUUGCAGGCUGCAACUCGCCUGCAUGAAGUCGGAAUCGCUAGUAAUCGUGGAUCAGCAUGUCACGGUGAAUACGUUCCCGGGUCUUGUACACACCGCCCGUCACACCAUGGGAGCGGGUUCCGCCAGAAGUAGGUAGCCUAACCGCAAGGGGGGCGCUUACCACGGCGGGGUUCGUGAC
RNAcentral lists this ribosomal RNA (1349 nucleotides) under metagenome. Its description in RNAcentral is "bacterial SSU rRNA". It matches the Rfam family "Bacterial small subunit ribosomal RNA", at positions 132 to 1475 of the family's 1533-position model. The record is from RNAcentral.